CACAGGGAGUGACACGUGGGGGUUGC
RNAcentral lists this non-coding RNA (26 nucleotides) under Homo sapiens (human). The record is from RNAcentral. Lineage: Eukaryota; Metazoa; Chordata; Mammalia; Primates; Hominidae.